This 208-nucleotide ribosomal RNA is filed under the name Salmonella enterica subsp. enterica serovar Schwarzengrund. Its description in RNAcentral is "partial 16S ribosomal RNA". It matches the Rfam family "Bacterial small subunit ribosomal RNA", at positions 1 to 215 of the family's 1533-position model. The record is from RNAcentral. Lineage: Bacteria; Pseudomonadati; Pseudomonadota; Gammaproteobacteria; Enterobacterales; Enterobacteriaceae.
AAAUUGAAGAGUUUGAUCAUGGCUCAGAUUGAACGCUGGCGGCAGGCCUAACACAUGCAAGUCGAACGGUAACAGGAAGCAGCUUGCUGCUUCGCUGACGAGUGGCGGACGGGUGAGGAAUGUCUGGGAAACUGCCUGAUGGAGGGGGAUAACUACUGGAAACGGUGGCUAAUACCGCAUAACGUCGCAAGACCAAAGAGGGGGACCU